GUCUGUCCCACAAUGUCAGCACUUUAUGAUUGGCUGCCAGGAGCUUUUUUUUUAAUUAGGCUACAUCAAGAAUUUAAAGAGGCAGCAGGUUUUGAGACCCUUUCAUCCGAGAGAUGAACCAGGGUGAGAGAAACUUCUAUCUAUAACUGUAGAUUAACUUUUUACAAACUUACAGGUUAUGAUUUACUGUGUGAGUAUGAAGUUUACUGUCUUUACUUUACCUUCAAACUUCACAGAUUUACUCAAAGGCUCGACCUGGUGGUGAAAGGUGAGUUAAACACUCAAAUACUAACAGUUAAGUGUUUAUUGCUGUCUGGAAACACCAUUUGGAAUAAAAACACCACCUACAGAAGUUUAGUUUUACUGACAUCUAUGAGGGAAAAAAUGACAACAAUGAUCAUUAUUAUUAUAAAUGGAUGUUUCCUCUCCCUAAAAGUUUAAAUACAACAGACUUGUAUGUUUCUACCUUUUUUAUUUUCCAAAUACUUUUCAGAUGGUGGCUGUCGAAGGAAAACACCUGUGCAUGUAGGUAAAUACUGAGUGGUCUGCUCCUCCCACCAACCAACAUCCAGAGAAAACUGGUUCAGCAGCUUGUUUAUCAGCAGCUGUGAAUGUUGAAGAAACCUCAAAUUAACCAGAGAGGAGCUGCGACACAGAGCGGAGGGUAAUUUUUGUGUCUCUUCUUUGAAUGCAUUGAUUGAUCUUCUGGAUUUCAUUGUUAUUGAUUAAAAAAAACACCUUGACAUUAAUUUCUUUAUGGUUUUCUGCAGCCAUGGAAACUGUUACCUGUUGUUCAUCCUGCUGAAAAGUUGAUUUUCUGGUAUCUCGCUGGAAUGGGAGGUCAAGAAUCAAGAUGCUGGUCUUCAGUCUGUCCACAUAGACAGAAAAAGACCAUAAUCGAUAAACAUGAAGGAGAGACAGACGGCUUUUUAAAGAUGAGAAACUCCAACGGUUCUCUGAGGUCAGAGGACGCACCAGCCGAUUCACUUUCAUCAGAUUUACCUCCAGUCAGCGAACCGAUCCAGGAUCUUGCCCAGAGGAUGUCAGAGGAGAUCAUCAGUCAGGCUCUGCAGGUCUGUUGGGAGAUGAACAUUCAUUACAGAGACUUGCCUUUUAUUGACACUGAGAGUGAAUAUGUUAUAUAGUUCUACCUGAAGGAAGAAAAAAUACACAUGGAAUAUUUUCUCAACCGAUUCUUUAAGUUUUUUGAGCUUAAAAAAUCAGUUCCUGCUGCCAGUCUGUACGAUUAACCAUCAACCAAAUGUGGUGAAAUGAGUUUACACACAAAGAAAUUGAAUACUAAUAAUCCAGUGCUAUAAAGAACGGAUGGUGGUUUUGGAUUUCUUCACUUAUUCUAGAGGACAUAAAAAAUAGAAACAUGUUCGGGGGAAUUUUUUGAGUCAGAAAUUUCACCUUAAACACAAACAAAUGGUUCAUUGAUUCUCAGUGAGAACCUCCAACACUGAUAAUUUUCUGUUUAAGUGAGAAAAUAACACGUGUCAGACACCUGCUCGACAGGGCGACCUUGUCAUUCGACAUGUUUACUGUGUAAGUUUCAUCAGUCCUGUGUACAUGAAAACAUAACCACAGGAAAGUCAGAGUUUAGUCAGUGUUUACCUGCUUAGACUCUCGUGUUUUGGCAGCAAAAGAGGAAAAGAGUUGAGCUACAGAGCAGGAACAUGCAAGAAUACAGCUUUAAGAAAGACACUUCAGAAUCUUAAUGCAGCCCUCACAAACUAACAAAGACAGUGGAUGUGAUGGGUACACUUGAGCCUCUGGUACAACAACAAUAAUAAUAAUAAUAAUAAUAAAAAUAACAAAAGUUACAUCAGUGCAGGAAUACAUCAAACAUAAAACACAUAUUUAUAGUUUGUGUGUUCAACUAGGGGGGACCGGGUUUGUUGUGAGCUGAGAUGAGCACCAAUAAACCAUUUCGCUCAACCUAAAGUAAAAAAAAAAAACUUCAUAUAUUUUAAAAUAAGCUUCUUCCAGAUAAAAAUCCUUGCAGUGAUACAUGUGGACAUUAUCCAAUGUAGUGAGACAACUUACCCGAUGGUGGCGCAACAUGUCACAUGUUCACACUCACGUUUUAAUUGCUUAUAACUCUGCACUGACACGAGAUAUGGAAAUGACAUGAUUAUGAAAUUUAUACCUGAGACUUUGGUCUUUAAUCUUUUACAAAUUCUGUUUAUAUUUGAUGUAUUGGUUUAGAGAAAUACACAAGAGUGUAAAAGUGUGACAACAAGCCCCGGUCUCCCCUACUAGAGAGCCUCCUCCUGCUGUGUAACUCACACAGCUCACCGUUAGAGGUCGCUGUGGUGUCGUGAUGAACCGACGUAACCAUGGAGAGGUGGUUAACAGGCGAUGAUGUCAGGGGUCUGUUGGAGAAAAAGCUGCUCACAGGAAAGGUUGGAGACAGUGGUCCGGAUAAGGAGCAGCUGAAGUCGAUAAAAAUUUAAUUAAUAAUCAAUUAAAGCCCGGGUAUCAACACCUGCUGGAGCCACGCGCCAAAAACGACGACUUCUUCUUCUUCUUCUUCCCUGUGAGGUUUGUCACCGUUUAAACAGGUAAACCCUUUUUUAUAAGCUAUUCAAAGUAACUUUAGAAAUUAAUUAGUAAUCUAUUUUACAAGAAAAUGUUUACUUAAUAGACAUGUUUGGGUUAUUUGAGCCUUUAGGGCGCCGCAUAAUCUCGUUUAUGGCAAUAAAACAGUUGCUAAUUGUGUUAUUUCAGAUUCACUUUGUGUUGUUAUCGCACCUGAAAGUCCAGCAAACCUCAAACAAUAAAUUUCAUUAUUCUUCAUAAAGUGAAUUUUCAGGGAAUAUGUUAAACUUCAUCAAACAGUAAUAAGAUAAAAAUGAUUCACAAGACAUUUUCAAACAUUUAAGUAAUUUAUUUUUACAUUCAGUUGAUUAACAAAGACAUAAACUAUAUAAUGAAUUGACUGUACAUCGUGUUUAAACUGUGUAAUGACCCAAAGUGC
RNAcentral lists this long non-coding RNA (2983 nucleotides) under Xyrichtys novacula (pearly razorfish). The record is from RNAcentral. Lineage: Eukaryota; Metazoa; Chordata; Actinopteri; Labriformes; Labridae.